RNAcentral lists this ribosomal RNA (507 nucleotides) under uncultured bacterium. RNAcentral's name for it is "partial 16S ribosomal RNA". It matches the Rfam family "Bacterial small subunit ribosomal RNA", at positions 28 to 507 of the family's 1533-position model. The record is from RNAcentral.
GAUGAACGCUGGCGGCGUGCUUAACACAUGCAAGUCGAACGGGCCGUGUCCCCUUUUUUUUGGCGGUGGGGUUAGUGGGGAACGUGUGUGUAACACGUAAGUAACCUGUCUCUCACUUCUGGAUAUCCGGGUGAAAGGGUGGAUAAUACGGGGACUUCUUGCCUGCUCGCAUGGGUGGGUUUGGAAAGAUCCGACCGUCUUUGGUUGAUUUGGCGGGGGCUGGGCUUGCGGCUUAUCAGCUUGUUGGUUGGGAGGUGGCCUGCCAAGGCUCUGACGGGUAGCCGGCCUGAGAGUGAGGGCUGACACACUGGGACUGAGACACGGCCCAGACUCCCACGGGACGCAGCAGUGGGGAAUAUUGCACAAGGGGCGAAAGCGUGGUGCAGCGUCGCCGCGUGAGGGAUGGAGCCCUUCGGGUUGUGACCCUCUUUCGGCAGUGAAGCAGGUCCUGCAGUAGGUGGUGGGGUUGAGGGUGGCUGUGUUCAGGAAGCGCCGGCUAACUACGUG